UACGUAGGUGACCAGCGUUGUCCGGAUUUACUGGGCGUAAAGAGCGCGCAGGCGGUCGUUCAAGUCGAGUGUGAAAGCCCCUGGCCCAACUGGGGAGGGUCAUUCGAUACUGAUCGACUUGAAGGCAGGAGAGGGUAGUGGAAUUCCCGGUGUAGUGGUGAAAUGCGUAGAUAUCGGGAGGAACACCAGUGGCGAAGGCGACUACCUGGCCUGUUCUUGACGCUGAGGCGCGAAAGCUAGGGGAGCAAACGGG
This 253-nucleotide ribosomal RNA is filed under the name uncultured bacterium. RNAcentral's name for it is "partial 16S ribosomal RNA". It matches the Rfam family "Bacterial small subunit ribosomal RNA", at positions 524 to 776 of the family's 1533-position model. The record is from RNAcentral.